This 3264-nucleotide long non-coding RNA is filed under the name Helianthus annuus (common sunflower). RNAcentral describes it as "hypothetical non coding rna". Lineage: Eukaryota; Viridiplantae; Streptophyta; Magnoliopsida; Asterales; Asteraceae. The record is from RNAcentral.
AGUGAAAAAUGUGUUAAGUAUGACCACAAAAGCUAAAUUACUACAAUUAUAAUCUAAUUAAUUUAAGAGGUUGUAUGAACUAAAAAUAGAAAUUGGGUGACUUUUGACCUGCGGACCCUUUUAACCCAUUUGACCCGUUAGUGGAUCUAAAUUGCCACCUUUUGAAUUCAAUAUUCAGAAGUCGAACACAAUGACAGAAAAUAAAAAUAUCACUCGGUAAAUCGAGCUCGCGUAGCAUUAAUCUUUUCUCAUAUCGUAAGUCAAAUAGUAACGGGUCAAUCGGGUUAUGUUAUAUCUCUAACGAUCAAAUAAAAUGAAUAGCUUAAAGUAACAAAAAAAUUAAAGACAGGAAACCCGAAAACAAUUUCAGCUCAAAAUCAACGAUCAAAUAAUAUUACGAUGAAUCAAUUGUGAUUUUCCAAAAAGAAAUCUUGCCUCAAUGAAUCUUACAACGAAUCAAUUGUGUUUGUUUACGUUCGUAUAUAGAGUUAACGAAUGAGCACAGACAAAUUCUUUUCCUUAACAAACAAACACGAAUUUUCGUUCACGUGAAAAUUAUAGGCUCGUGAACCGUCCAUUUAUCCAAUAAAAUCUAAACAAACGAACAUGAACAAGGUCUUGUUCAGUUUGUUUACACCCCUAAUUUAAAGAAAAUAAACAUAAUAUUUGGAGAGAAUUUGACAUGAUUUGGUUAAAUUUUUAGCUAAUAAGAAUCAAAUUUGAUAAUCUAACAAAGAUAUUGCCUCAAAUUUCAAAAUUUAACAUGAUUUGGUUGAAAUUUAAGCUAAUAAGGAUAUAAUUUCAUAAUUUAAUUAAACAAAUUUGAAAUCUAAACUACACUCAUCAAUAUGUCUGAUAAAUCCUAAACGAACUAACAUGAACAAGGUCUCAUCCAGUUCCUUUCAUUUCGUUUACACCACUAAUCGGAAGAAAAAACAACAUAUGUUUUUGAAAAGAACUUGACAUGAUUUGGUUAAAAUUUAAACUAACAAAAAAUCAAAUUGCAUAAUUCAACAAAGAUAUUGCCACAAAUUCCAAACUUUAACAAAAUUCGGAUAAAGUUAAACCUAAUGAGCAUCAAAUUUCAAAACAUAAUGAACAAAAUAUGAACACCAAACCAAACCAAACUCAUCAAUCCAUCCAACCCAAUCCAAUCAUCUAAACGAACGGACAUGAACAACAUCUCAUUCGCUUCAGUUCAAUUUAUUCACACCCCUAACUGAAAAUAAAAAAAAAAAAAAAAACUUCACAUAAUUCUGUUAAAAUACAACCUAACAAGCAUCAAAUUCCAUAACUUAAUCAACCAAAAUAUGCACACCAAACUAAACCAAACUCAUCAAUCAUCUAAUCAAACGAUAACUUAACAAAAAUAUUGCCUCAAUAAACAUUACAAUGAAACAAUUGUGCUCAAUAACAUAAUCAACAAACAAACACGAACAAAUUCUUUUCCGUAACAAACGAACACGAAAUCUCAUUUGGUUAAAUGUUCAUGAACCGUCACUUUGCCCAAUAAAAUCUAAAUGAACGAACAUGACCAAGGUCUCAUUCGGUUCCUUUCGUUUCAUCUCUAAAAAGAAACAAAGCAUAUUUUUUUAAGAUAAUUUGACAUGAUGUUAAAAUUUAAGCUGGUAAGCAUCAAACUUCAUCACUUAAUAAAAUUCAUUAACUCAUCUUAUCCAAUCAUCAAAUUUCAUAACUUAAUCAAACUCAUCAGUUCGAUUCAGUUCAUUUCAUUAACACCGCUAAUUGAAAGAAACAGAACAUAAUUUUGAUAAGAACAUGACAUGAUUUGGUUAAAAGUUAAAACUUAAACAAACUAACUAAGAAAUCAAAUUGAAUAAUUCAACAAAUCUAUCGCCUCAAAUUUCAAAAAAUUCAACACAAUUCCUUUAAAAUUUAACCUAAAAAGCAUCAAAUUUCAUAACAUAAUCAACCAAAACAUGAACACUAAACUAAACCAAACUCGUCAAUCCAAUCCAACCAUCUAAACGAACGAACAUGAACAAGAUCUCAUUCGCUUCGGUUCAAUUCAUUUACACCCCUACCAAAAAAACAUAUAUUUUCCGGAAAAAAUUUAACCUAAUUCAGUUAAAACAUAACCUAACAACCAGUGGCGAAACUUGAGAUUUUUGACCAGGGGGUCGAAAACGUAUAUACCCAAAAAUUUAUGUAAAACCGGAGGGUCAAAAACGUAUAUACCCAAAAGUUUCUAUACGAAAACUACAUACUCUCCACUACUGAGCGAAAAGUUCGGGGGUCGGCCGCCCCCUCCCGCCCCCACGAUGCUGCGCCGCUGCUGACAACCAUCAAAUUUCGAAACAUAACCAACCAAAACACAAACACCAACUUAAACCAAACUCAUCAAUUCAUCUUAUCAAAUCAUCUAAUCAAACCAUAAUUAAACAAAGAGCUUACCUCAAUAAAUAUUACAACAAAACCAUUGUCUUCGUUUAUAUGUUCGUUUAAGCUAAGCAUCAAAUUUCAUAUAUUAACAUGAUUAUUUUCUCAAAUUUCAAAACUUUACACAAUAUUGUUGAAACUUAAGCAAAAAAGCAUCAAAUAUUGUAACAUAAUUACACAAACAGCAACUCUAAACUAAACCAAACUCAUCAAUCAAUCCAUCCAAUCCCAUCACUUGACGAAACUAAACUCUUUAAAAAUCAAUAAAAUCCAGUUAAACCACACACACAUACCGUACUCCCCCAUCGAUCACGGGCAUCUAUAUUCGCCUUACACCUCAACAAAAGCAAGACAACAUCCACAUGCCCUUCACAAGCAGCCACAUGCAAAGCAGUCCUCCCAUCAAGAUCAAUACUAUUCACAUCCACCCCAUCAUCCAACAACUCUUUAACCCCUUGAACAUCACCUUUACACGCCACAAACAGCAACUGCAUAGUCGAAUCUAAAUUCCCAGGAACCGCAGCAAGUUCAUCAUCAUCUUUAUUAACAGGUCCCCGUUGAAUCGGGUCCAAAGAUGACUGCCGCCCGAACCCGAACCGCCCGUUGUUGUUGUUGUUGGAUCGUGGAUCUAACGAGUUCUGUCGCCUGAAACUUAGCUUUGAAGUUAGUUGCUUCACUGAAUUUGUUGAUAAUUGGCGGGAAAUCCCUCGUUUUAGUUGUGUUGCUCUGUCCAUGAUGGGUUUUGGUGUUGUGGGUUGAUUAAAUUAUGUGAAUUUGGAACAUGAUUUGGUGGAAUUCAAGUGGGGAAUUAGGGUUUGGGAAAAGGGGAUGAAUGAUUGAUGGAAUUUUGAUAGAAAUAUCUUU